GGUUGUAUAGUGUAGCGGUUAUCACCUUGGAUUCUGAAGAUUUCCAGUAACCCCGGUUCGAUUCCGGGUACGACCU
RNAcentral lists this transfer RNA (76 nucleotides) under Yarrowia sp. B02. RNAcentral's name for it is "tRNA-Gln". It matches the Rfam family "tRNA". From Rfam's summary of the family: Transfer RNA (tRNA) molecules are approximately 80 nucleotides in length. Their secondary structure includes four short double-helical elements and three loops (D, anti-codon, and T loops). Further hydrogen bonds mediate the characteristic L-shaped molecular structure. tRNAs have two regions of fundamental functional importance: the anti-codon, which is responsible for specific mRNA codon recognition, and the 3' end, to which the tRNAs corresponding amino acid is attached (by aminoacyl-tRNA synthetases). tRNAs cope with the degeneracy of the genetic code in two manners: having more than one tRNA (with a specific anti-codon) for a particular amino acid; and 'wobble' base-pairing, i.e. permitting non-standard base-pairing at the 3rd anti-codon position. Lineage: Eukaryota; Fungi; Ascomycota; Dipodascomycetes; Dipodascales. The record is from RNAcentral.